This 403-nucleotide ribosomal RNA is filed under the name Hydra oligactis. Its description in RNAcentral is "partial 16S ribosomal RNA". It matches the Rfam family "Bacterial large subunit ribosomal RNA", at positions 1929 to 2482 of the family's 2925-position model. Lineage: Eukaryota; Metazoa; Cnidaria; Hydrozoa; Anthoathecata; Hydridae. The record is from RNAcentral.
GGAUGCAGUAACUCUGACUGUAAUAAAGUAGCAUAAUUAGUUGUCAUUUAAUUGAUGGAGAGAAUGAAUGGUUACACGAAUAUUUCACUGUCUUAAAAAAAAUUUUUUAAAAUUGAAAUAAUAGUUAAGAUGCUAUUUAAAAUUGUAAGACGAAGAGACCCUAUAGAGCUUUACUAUAAACUUUUUUUUAAAUAGAUAAUAAAAAAAUUAUCUUAUUCAGAAAGUUUGGUAGUUUAGUUGGGGCGACUGUUUUUUAAAAAUAACAAAAAUAAGCAAUAUAAUAAAUUUAUUUAUUGUAUAAUUAAACAAUUUAACAAUUACUAUAGUAGGCUAUAAUGACCCGUUAUUAUGAUAAACAACAAAUAACGAUUAAUUAAUAAAAGCUACCUUAGGGAUAACAGGA